This is a long non-coding RNA of Cyprinus carpio carpio, 2361 nucleotides long. Lineage: Eukaryota; Metazoa; Chordata; Actinopteri; Cypriniformes; Cyprinidae. The record is from Ensembl.
AUGUCACAGCAAAUGCCGGCGCAGGGUGCCAGGGCCACAUCCACAGAGCAGGAAAAGCUGCAGCAGAGGUGCCAGCUGUUGCACUCUCAUCAGCGGGUAUCUUGGCCUGGCUGGGCACAGUCUCCACUGCACUCCAUGUUAUCACAGGCCAUAUCUGAAGGCAGGAGGACAUUGGCGGUCUCCAAGGCUCCUAUCACCCGCCACAUUAUCUCCAGUAGAGUGAGGGUAGAUGGGCUGCCACAUAAACCAUCCCGUCUCUCUAUCUGUCUGUCUGUUUGUCUCAUUCUCUUUCUCUCUUUCUCGCUCCAUCUUUAGCUCAUUAGUAUUAAGGAAAUGAAAGAUCCCUAAAGCUGGCAGCAGCUGUAGUGAAAAAUGAGGCCCACUCAGCCACCAAUAUCUCAUUUAGCACUUUAAUGUGCUCAUACAGUAAAGUGGAGACAAUGUCAAGCUUUAGAUUCUGACAGAACUUGACUAUAUGUUCUUCAUUAGCUUCUUGACAGUGAUGGAUGGGUUUUUUACACUCGUGUAUGUUUUUUUAGAACUAAAAUAAAAAUAAAUGAAAUAAAAACCAAACUUUUAUGCUUCUUUUUUCCAGCUAAAUACUCUCUUUUCUUAAUCCAUGAAUUUGAAAUCUGUAGGCUAUACCUGUGUCCCUAAUAUACACUACUGUUGAAAAUGUUUUUUAAAAGAAGUCUCACCAAGGCUGCUUUUAUUUGGUCAAAACAAAGUAUAAAUAAUAUUCUGAAAUAUAAUUACAAUUUAAAAUACCUUUUUCUAUUGUAUUCACUUUUAAAAUGUAAAUUAUUUCUGUAAUGGUAAAGCAGAAUUUUUGGGAGAUGUUACUUUUAGACAUUUUGUCACUUUUAGAAAUCAUGACAGAAUUUUCAUUCUUGGCCCGAACUAUUCCUUCAAAACAUUUUUAAUUACUCUGAAAAACAUCUCUAUUUAAAAGCCAAUUAGCAUGCUAACGGAUUAGCAUACUUGAUUAGCAUGCAUACAGAAAGAGUGUCACUCGUUGCUGUUUUGGCCAGUGUUCAAACCAGGACUGUCCAUUCAUUUGAGUGCAGACAGCGGUUUGUCAUUUGCAAGUACAAGGUGUUGACAGAAAAUCAGGCCGCUUUCAAUUAUCAGCCAAGCUCUUCAGUGACCGGCGCCAAGUCCAGACAUACAGAGACACUGCUGGACCAGGCUUGUCUGACAUAACACAGCUGUGCGUCUGAAAAGCUGACAGCUGUGUGUGAGCGUGUAUGAAUUUGUGAGUGUGUAUGUGUUUCCUUGAACCGCAGUUCUUUAUAUGUCACAUCAUCCAUUAGCAGUGGCAGAAGAAUAUGUGAGUGAGUGAGAGUGUGUGGGAUAUUUAUAAAAGAACAGAUUUUAUGUGACGGUAAAUGCGUAUUGCUUAAACGAUCUGAAAGAAUAAGGCAAUAAUAAUCUCUGCUGUGGCUCUAAAUGUCUCAUUUAUGACUAUAAAAACGUGUGUGGUGUACUGCAGGGACCAGUACACCAGAGCGGGAUCAGAUAAUUGGCUAAACUGAUGCCUGCAUUUUGCCAGUUUUCGAGGGGUCAUAGAUUCCUCUGGGCCUCCACCCAUCAACCGCAUUUGGAUCCCCAGUGCAGCUGUAGCAUAUUAGAAAGGUGCCAUCAAUGCUAAUUUAUGCUGAUUCAACUAAAAGCCCCUAUGCUACAGCACCCUGUGCUUCAGAACCCCCCCAAAAUAUAUAAUCCUGAUUAUAAAAACCUCACAUAUGCUUUCUCUGUGCAAGACUAGCACACGGUUUCUUUGACCCCUUCCUUUGGCAGUUCGUACACUUGCACCGUAGUCACGCUCUCAUGCAGUCAAGCAUGCAGCCGUCAGCACAACAAUCUGACUUAUUUAUUUAUUUCGCAGUGCAGAUAUUUAUUAAUUUGUUUUCAUUUGCACUCUGGUUAGAUUAAGUCUAAUACAGCCCCUCAGGAAGGCACUGCUCUAUUUGGCCCAUGUAAAUCUCAUCAGCUAUUCAGGCCCAUCCCUAAUAUGCUUAGACAGCUGAGAAACAUGUAUUAUUCAUAACUCUGGAUUUUUUCAUAUAACCAUGGUGCCGCUCCCCAGGAUGAGGUAGCGUUGUGGCAAUAUCAGAGGUUCAUCCAUAUUCUACAAAUAAUGAGAUGGCUUGUAUGGUUUAUGAAAUGUAAUCCAUCAUUAUUACAAAACCAUCAAAUCUUCUGCAUUACUUAUAUUAUUCAAUAGAUUUGGGGGUAUUUGCUUGUUAUGUGAAAUUAAGAUUAUAGCUUGCUCUGGAAAAUGACAUCUUUUAGCUGCCCUGUCUAUUUUGCUGUUGUUUAAAUUUCAUAUUGUAUUCAUAUUGUAUACUGAAUGAUGAC